GUAAGGAAUAUUGCUCAAUGGCCGAAAGGCUGAAGCAGCAACGCCGCGUGAGGGAUGAAGGGCUUAUGCUUGUAAACCUCUGUAGAAAGGGAGAAAUGUGGCGCUAUAGCGCCAAGUGAUAGUACCUUUAAAGUAAGCCCCGGCUAACUACGUGCCAGCAGCCGCGGUAAUACGUAGGGGGCAAGCGUUGUCCGGAUUUACUGGGUGUAAAGGGUGCUCAGGCGGUUAUGUUAGUCAGGGGUGAAAUCUCAGAGCUUAACUCUGAAACUGCCCUUGAUACUGCAUAGCUUGAGAACGGAAGAGGCCGAUGGAAUUCCUGGUGUAGCAGUGAAAUGCGUAGAUAUCAGGAAGAACACCAGUGGCGAAGGCGGUCGGCUGGUCCGUUUCUGACGCUAAAGCACGAAAGCGUGGGUAGCAAACAGGAUUAGAAACCCGUGUAGUCC
Molecule: ribosomal RNA, 443 nt
Filed under: uncultured bacterium
Lineage: Bacteria
Description: bacterial SSU rRNA
Rfam family: Bacterial small subunit ribosomal RNA
Source: RNAcentral